RNAcentral lists this transfer-messenger RNA (364 nucleotides) under Rhizobiales bacterium 17-65-6. It matches the Rfam family "Alphaproteobacteria transfer-messenger RNA". From Rfam's summary of the family: Bacterial tmRNA, also known as 10Sa RNA or SsrA, is named for its dual tRNA and mRNA-like properties. Lineage: Bacteria; Pseudomonadati; Pseudomonadota; Alphaproteobacteria; Hyphomicrobiales. The record is from RNAcentral.
CCCCUUUCACUGAGGGCGGCGGGAGCCUAUAUUCAUCGAGCCGGCGCAAGCUGGAUAUGGCGAUAAAUGGUUGUCGUAAUAAGCCUAUCGGACCCGGGGGCAGUACCCGGCGCCUCCACCAAAGCCCGACCUCCACGCAAGUGGCGGCGGGCUCCGGCGGGGGCGAAACAGGAUCGACGAGGGUGUAAAGGACUUUCUUUCGCCCGGCAUGGUUCCGCCGUCAUCGGGCCGACCUAUAGUUGCGAAUGACAACUAUGCUCGGGUUGCUCAGGCCGCGUGAGCGGUUUGAAAACCUAAACAAAGUCCUCCCGGUUAGCACCGGAUAGGCGGGGUUCGGAGGCACCUGGCAACAGAAGCCUCCACU